Molecule: ribosomal RNA, 550 nt
Filed under: uncultured bacterium
Lineage: Bacteria
Description: partial 16S ribosomal RNA
Rfam family: Bacterial small subunit ribosomal RNA
Source: RNAcentral
UAGGGAAUNUUNGGCAAUGGACGGAAGUCUGACCGAGCAACGCCGCNUGAGUGAAGAAGGUUUUCGGAUNGUAAAGCUNUGUNGUAAGAGAAGAACGAGUGUGAGAGUGGAAAGUUCACACUGUGACGGUAUCUUACCAGAAAGGGACGGCUAANUACGUGCCAGCAGCCGCGGUAAUACGUAGGUCCCGAGCGUUGUCNNGANUUAUUGGGNGUAAAGCGAGCGCAGGCGGUNAGAUAAGUNNGAAGUUAAAGGCUGUGGCUUAACCAUAGUACGCUUUGGAAACUGUUUAACUUGAGUGCAAGAGGGGAGAGUGGAAUUCCAUGUGUAGCGGUGAAAUGNGUAGAUAUAUGGAGGAACACCGGUGGCGAAAGCGGCUCUCUGGCUUGUAACUGACGNUGAGGCUNGAAAGCGUGGGGAGCAAACANGAUNAGAUACCNUGGUNGUCCACGCCGUAAACGAUGAGUGNUAGGUGUUAGACCCUUUCCGGGGUUUAGUGCCGCAGNUAACGCAUUAAGCACUCCGCCUGGGGAGUACGACCGCAAGGUUG